RNAcentral lists this transfer RNA (59 nucleotides) under Xenos cf. moutoni RZ-2020. RNAcentral describes it as "tRNA-Val". RNAcentral also lists the same sequence under 1 other name. Lineage: Eukaryota; Metazoa; Arthropoda; Insecta; Strepsiptera; Xenidae. The record is from RNAcentral.
CAAGUUAUAGCUAUAUUAAGUAUUUUAUUUACAUUAAAAGGAAAUUUAUAUUAAUUUGU